Molecule: ribosomal RNA, 355 nt
Filed under: Asterionellopsis glacialis
Lineage: Eukaryota; Bacillariophyta; Plagiogrammaphyceae; Rhaphoneidales; Asterionellopsidaceae
Description: partial Bacterial small subunit ribosomal RNA
Rfam family: Bacterial small subunit ribosomal RNA
Source: RNAcentral
AGUGGCGGACGGGUGAGUAACACGUAAGAAUUUACCUUUAGGAGGGGGACAACAAUUGGAAACGAUUGCUAAUACCCCAUAUGCUUUCGAGUGAAACGGAUUUAUCCGCCUAUUGAGAAGCUUGCGGCUGAUUAGCUUGUUGGUAAGGUAAUGGCUUACCAAGGCGACGAUCAGUAUCUGGUUUGAGAGGAUGAUCAGACACACUGGAACUGAGACACGGUCCAGACUCCUACGGGAGGCAGCAGUGGGGAAUUUUCUGCAAUGGGCGAAAGCCUGACAGAGCAAUACCGCGUGAGGGAUGACAGUCCUAUGGAUUGUAAACCUCUUUUUUCAGGGAGGAAGUUCUGACGUUACC